Molecule: long non-coding RNA, 517 nt
Organism: Ornithodoros turicata
Lineage: Eukaryota; Metazoa; Arthropoda; Arachnida; Ixodida; Argasidae
Exons: 2
Source: RefSeq, a predicted model, not a curated record
CACGCGAAAAUUUGGACUUGAGAAGCGCAGCAUGACUAAUUAUGUUGCUAAAAAAUUUCUGUCCCGAACUGAAAUCUACAUGUUCGACACCAACGUCACAUACAGGAUGAAGAUAUGCAACGCCCAAAAGCUAUACAACUUUAGAGGUGGCUAUGUCUUGUUCCUCGUCAACCAUCUGGACUCGGGAAACACAUGCAAGGACACCAACUUCACGCGGGGCUAUGCGGACAUACACUACAUCAGGGCAUAUAUGAACACUGCCUUUACCAAUUGCUAGAUGCAGCAAGCAGCUGCGUCCUGUUCGAAGAUUAUUCUUUAUUUUCUCAUACAAUUCUAAUUGGUAUCUUGGCUGUAUCGUGCGCAUUGAUGCAUGUUCAUUGUUUUACUUGGAUAGUGGCAUACCUAUGGAAAACAAACUUUUCACUUUUUCUUAGCUUCUAUUCUAGUAGAGUACUAAUAUCAUAGGACCAUCCGUCAUGCAGAUAUAAAUACCUUGCAAUUAAAUAUAUAAAUAUAU